Molecule: ribosomal RNA, 492 nt
Filed under: uncultured bacterium
Lineage: Bacteria
Description: partial 16S ribosomal RNA
Rfam family: Bacterial small subunit ribosomal RNA
Source: RNAcentral
GAUGAACGCUAGCUACAGGCUUAACACAUGCAAGUCGAGGGGAAACGACAUCGAAAGCUUGCUUUUGAUGGGCGUCGACCGGCGCACGGGUGAGUAACGCGUAUCCAACCUGCCCAUCACUUGGGAAUAACCUUGCGAAAGUAAGACUAAUACCCAAUGAUAUCCCACGAAGGCAUCGGAAUGGGAUUAAAGAUUUAUCGGUGAUGGAUGGGGAUGCAUCUGAUUAGCUUGUUGGCGGGGUAACGGCCCACCAAGGCAACGAUCAGUAGGGGUUCUGAGAGGAAGGUCCCCCACAUUGGAACUGAGACACGGUCCAAACUCCUACGGGAGGCAGCAGUGAGGAAUAUUGGUCAAUGGGCGAGAGCCUGAACCAGCCAAGUAGCGUGCAGGAAGACGGCCCUAUGGGUUGUAAACUGCUUUUAGAAGGGAAUAAAGUGGGUCACGUGUGACUUUUUGCAUGUACCUUAUGAAUAAGGACCGGCUAAUUCCGUG